UAACAGGCUGAUCUUCCCCAAGAAUCCACAUCGACGGGAAGGUUUGGCACCUUGAUGUCGGCUCUUCGCCACCUGGAGCUGUAGGUGGUUCCAAGGGUUGGGCUGUUCGCCCAUUAAUGCGGUACGUGAGCUGGGUUCAGAACGUCGUGAGACAGUUC
This 158-nucleotide ribosomal RNA is filed under the name Oryza punctata. RNAcentral describes it as "rRNA LSU_rRNA_eukarya". It matches the Rfam family "Bacterial large subunit ribosomal RNA", at positions 2475 to 2632 of the family's 2925-position model. The record is from RNAcentral. Lineage: Eukaryota; Viridiplantae; Streptophyta; Magnoliopsida; Poales; Poaceae.